GAUGAACGCUAGCUACAGGCUUAACACAUGCAAGUCGCGGGGCAGCAUGGGGGUUGCUUGCAAUCCCCGAUGGCGACCGGCGCACGGGUGAGUAACGCGUAUCCAACCUGCCCUUCACCACGGGAUAACCCGGCGAAAGUCGGACUAAUACCGUAUGUUGUCCGUUGACGGCAUCCGAUUUGGACGAAAGGUUUGGCGGUGAAGGAUGGGGAUGCGUCCGAUUAGCUGGACGGCGGGGUGACGGCCCACCGUGGCGACGAUCGGUAGGGGUUCUGAGAGGAAGGUCCCCCACACUGGAACUGAGACACGGUCCAGACUCCUACGGGAGGCAGCAGUGAGGAAUAUUGGUCAAUGGGCGUAAGCCUGAACCAGCCAAGUAGCGUGCAGGAUGACGGCCCUAGGGGUUGUAAACUGCUUUUAUGCGGGGAUAAAGUGGCCCACGUGUGGGUUUUUGCAGGUACCGCAUGAAUAAGGACCGGCUAAUUCCGUG
RNAcentral lists this ribosomal RNA (490 nucleotides) under uncultured bacterium. RNAcentral describes it as "partial 16S ribosomal RNA". It matches the Rfam family "Bacterial small subunit ribosomal RNA", at positions 28 to 507 of the family's 1533-position model. The record is from RNAcentral.